GGUUGACAAAAGUUAAUAUUCAGAUGUCUUUAACAUAUUUUACAUAAGAUAAAUUUGAGUAAGCAAAAAUUUUAGUAUUACAAAGAAAUGUAAAAGACUUAAAAUUAUUAUUUUAAGAAAGUAAAUAAGUUUUUGAUAGAUAAUUUCAUCUCAAUGGCUAGUGCAAAUGAAGAAAGUACAAUUAGAGCUUUAACAGUGCAUAGAUUCAACUCCCUACAGUUAGUGCUUUAACAGUGCAUAGAUUCAACUCC
RNAcentral lists this unclassified non-coding RNA (251 nucleotides) under Hevea brasiliensis (rubber tree). Lineage: Eukaryota; Viridiplantae; Streptophyta; Magnoliopsida; Malpighiales; Euphorbiaceae. The record is from RNAcentral.